GAUCUCUUUUGUGGUUUUUGUUUUAGAAGCAAGUUGAUUUCACAGUGUUCAGAAAAUGUUCAGACUGAGUAACAACCUUGUUGGCAUCCUCAACUUCAUCACCUUCCUGCUCUCAGUCCCUAUCUUGGGAGCGGGAAUAUGGCUGAGCCACCGGGCCAGCACCGACUGCGAGAAGUUUUUGGAGAAGCCCGUGAUAGCGCUUGGUGUGUUUCUCAUGGUGGUGUCACUGGCGGGGCUGAUCGGGGCCUGUUGCAGAGUGUCGUGGCUUCUCUGGGUCUACCUACUGGUGAUGUUUCUCUUGAUCGUGCUUCUCUUCUGCUUCACCAUCUUCGCCUUUGUGGUCACUAACAAGGGUGCCGGAGAGGUUUUGUCUGGGAAGGGGUAUAAGGAGUAUAGGCUCGGGGAUUACUCCAAUUGG
RNAcentral lists this long non-coding RNA (418 nucleotides) under Vitis vinifera (wine grape). RNAcentral's name for it is "long non-coding RNA (VVIN_LNC003485)". The record is from RNAcentral. Lineage: Eukaryota; Viridiplantae; Streptophyta; Magnoliopsida; Vitales; Vitaceae.